Long non-coding RNA from Equus asinus (donkey), 2372 nucleotides. Lineage: Eukaryota; Metazoa; Chordata; Mammalia; Perissodactyla; Equidae. The record is from Ensembl.
GUUGCUGGGAUAUGAGAAGCCGAGGAAAGCGUGUUCCCAAAGCUAUUUGUGACCACCCCUUCUUUCCUCUUCUCCCUAACAAGGAAACCCUGCCUGUGACGAGCUGUACAAGGCCUGGCUCAGCGGCUGGCGGGACAGCAACUGGAGACUUAGGAAGAAAAACAACUUCUAAACGUGGUGUUCGUGCAAGAAAGUAUCAGAAAGCGGAAAAUCUCUGAUCCACGCCAUCUGUUUGUCUCAUCCAGUGCUGCAUUCCAAUCUCUGCAACAGAAGAUUCAUGACAACCUGCCAAUAAAAUUCCUGAGAUUGUCAAAACACAGAAUACUUGUGAAAAAGUUUAAGAUAAGAUUCUUUCAUGUUUAAAUUCCUCAUACACACCCUUUCUCUCAGAGCACAGCUGGCUUCAGUACCAGAUUUCAGUCUAUUUCAAGGUUUACCUCACAUUUGGGAAGAUGCAAAUGAAAGAGUUUACAUCAAAGAGCAUGGAACUCAUAUCAUCCUUUCUAACAAUGGUCCUGGCUCUGUCUUAGAGGAGUAGAAUCAUAUUCAGCAGAUCCUGCAUAUUCCUGGAAGGGGCUUUCUGACCACAUGAUCUUCAGGGUGACACAUGGACAAGAAACAGAUCUUCUUCUUGUAAAUAUUACUGCCUUGUAGCACAACUUGGAACUGUUAUUUUAUUUUGCUAAUAAGUUUAUAUUCCGCCUUACCAAAUGACGAGGCAUUACAGUGGAGAAGAAAGCCACGUCUUACCAUAUAGUUACAUGUAUAAUUAGCUCACAUGCAAAUUAAUUGAACAAUUACGUUGUAUAUGCAACUACAAAUGCAUUUAGUACGUAUUUUGGUUAUUGUUUUCCUUUCUAGUGUGCCUUCAGUAAAGAUUGUCAAUAUGCCUUAAGCCACAAGCCAUGUGAGGUCAGAGAAAAGUAUGUUUUACACAGUCCCAAAUGCAUUCUACUGCCCAAUCUGUUACCCUUUCACUUCCCAAAACACUUCCCCAGCCUAAUGCAAAAGGAUUGCCUGACUCGUCAUUCUCAGGGAUUUGGGCAGAGAGCCACUAAGAAGACAAUCAUCCCAGGCAGCAAAUAUCCAUUAAAAAAAAACUUCCUCCAAAUCAGAUGCUGCUGACAAACUCAUAGAAAAGAUAUUGGCAAAGAAAAAAAAUUCAAAAGACAAUAUAUUUCACUUGGUGCCUAGCACAUUAUAAGUACUCAUGGAAAGGAAAUAAUCUCUGUGUUUAAAUGAGAGAAGACGAACCUGAACUGUCCACAUUUAACGUGUGAUAUACGCAGACAAGGAAAGUCCCGUCACGAGGGAACACACACUGUUACCGAAAUAGUUCUCCAAAGAUGGAGGGAUCCAGAGAGGUCUUGUGAAAUUUUCCAAUAUAAAAUCUCAAACCAAAAUCAAUUAAAUCAUUUAAAAAUUUAAAUACGAAAUAGGGAGGAGGAAGAAUUGAACAAUCUAAUAAUAAUAUCCUAUCACUGGGAAAGAUUAGAAUAACCGUCAAAAAAUAUUUUACUGCGUAUUGGAAGCAAAGAUGCUAGGCAUUUCCUAUAUUUGUUCAUUAUCAUCCCAUUGCAAAGAAGUUAGCCAUCUUUUAGCAUAUUUGCAAGAUUAGUCUAAUCAAUGAUUAUUAACAUAUGUUUUAAUGUUCAAAACCUAAGAACUGAGGCUACGCCAAAGAAAUCAGGGUGUAGACAAAGAAAUGCAAGGAAUUCAGCCUCACCUUUUAAAAUUUUCACGAGAAACUAUUUCAUGAAGAAAACAUUUGUAUUACUAUAGCAAGUUUAUUUUAACAGGAGUGUGUGGGUAGUAAACGAAGCCACGGAAGGUAGCUGAGCACAGGCUAUGGAGAGAAACAACAUAAAUGCAAAAGGAGUUGUCUGCAAAUCUGGCUGCUCCGUUUUCUAUUAGAUUUUCUUGGGCUCCCGUUGAGUGAGUGAUUGAGUGUGGAACCAAAGAAAAGACAAGAGUUAACCAGCUUCUGAAUCCUCUUCUUUCUCCACCUAGUCUCAAAAUACAACCUUCCACCCCUCGCCCAAAAAAAAGAUCUCUUUAGUUUAAAGUAGUCCCUUAGCAGCAGAGAUAAUGGUGUUGCCAAUGUCUUUUUCUUAGAUUGCUUAUUUAUUUGCACAGGUGUCAGCUAGUCUAUUAUUUCUCACAUGACAACUUCGCUCCAUGUUUAUUUCUCUGGUUUUACACCAGUAGUGUGGUAUUAUCUCUCUAAAUAAAGGAAAUGUGCCAAAGUAUAAUUUUAUAGUGAUCUCUAACUUCCUUCUUUUCCCCCUAACAUGUCAGGUGGCUCAGUUCUAAGUUUCCCCACAGUUGGUGGGAACUUUUCAAGGAUUUGGGAUAACAGCUGACAUUUUGUG